AGAGUAGGCAGUCUAUACAUCAAACCUUCACAGAGAUACAAAUAUUAGACAGCAACCUUCUAGGAUUCCAUCAAAUGGGACUAGUUAUUCAACCUUCAAUGCAAAUGAAUCGACAUGAGGUAAAGGGAUUAUUCCUCUUUUUUCUUUUGGGACGGAUAUAGACCUAGACACAGUCCUGUUCAUUUAUAAACAUAGUGAAGAGACAUAAAAGCUCAAUGCCGAGGAACAUGAUAGCCUGAUGUCAGUUUUGUUAGUACCAUGCUGUA
Molecule: unclassified non-coding RNA, 266 nt
Filed under: Hevea brasiliensis (rubber tree)
Lineage: Eukaryota; Viridiplantae; Streptophyta; Magnoliopsida; Malpighiales; Euphorbiaceae
Source: RNAcentral